Long non-coding RNA from Sinocyclocheilus grahami, 113 nucleotides. RefSeq lists it as uncharacterized. The transcript has 3 exons. NCBI's taxonomy places the organism in Eukaryota, Metazoa, Chordata, Actinopteri, Cypriniformes, Cyprinidae. The record is from RefSeq and is a predicted model, not a curated record.
UAUAAAAUUCAUGCACUACAUGGUUGAGUACAUGGUGCAUAAGCACAUAGUGCAUAAGUGCACAGUGUAUAGUGCGUCAAUUGGGACGCAGUUAUAGUGUUAAUUAAAGCAAA